GGGUAUCUGAUAUGAAACUCCCCCAAAGGAGUCAAGACCCACAGGCUGAGAACCAUUGGAAUGGAACUCAUAGAAAGAGAAAGAUCUAGGCUCACUUUCCUAUGCUUGGAACACCUGGGCUCAUGCCUCUUUCUAUCCUGAUACACAUCAGUGCCAUGGACCAGACUAGAAAGGCAACUUCUAUUCUCCAUUCCUCAACUCUACCUCAGGCAGAGGCCGGCUGCCUGGGAAAGGAUGUGACCAUAAGAGAGACAGCUAUCUUCAGUGGGGACCUGGUGGAGGAGCUGUCACCACUUCAAGCCAUUGUGUUACAGGGUGGAGUUCCUGAACUUCCUGGCAAUCUGAAUCCACUUCUGAGUCUUUAAUCUCAGGCCCUGGUGGGAUGACUCAAGCCUGGCUUCUCUGGAACAGGUCCUACAGAGCAAGACACUGCUCGAGAGCCAGAGCUAGUGAGCAGCAGGGGCUGGAACAGAACCCUGGCUGCUUGGAGUCCAAUAUCCC
RNAcentral lists this long non-coding RNA (501 nucleotides) under Cricetulus griseus (Chinese hamster). RNAcentral describes it as "lncRNA (ENSCGRG00015039552.1)". The record is from RNAcentral. Lineage: Eukaryota; Metazoa; Chordata; Mammalia; Rodentia; Cricetidae.